GGGGGGGGGUUGUCAAUGGUGACGGUGGUGCUUGGCCGAUGAGGAAUGGCAGUGAAGUGCCACAGCCGACGACUCUAGGCCGACCGGUGACGGCGGCAGUGGAGGUGUGUAUAGUUUGGUUCGAGUUUCUGGAUUUCCGGUUUAGUUUUUGGCGAUGCGGUGACUUGAGACUUGGUUGGGUUCAAAAGGUUCAAGUCGGUCAAUAAAGUCAAACCAGUCAACACGUCAGGUUGACUGGUCAACGCUGGUCAACGGGGGCUUCGGGUUCAGUUAUGUCAGAUUUGAUUCAAGUUAGAUGAGUGCUCGGGUCAGAUUCGGUCAAUGGUUCGGUUCGGGUCAAGUGGGUUGGUCGGCCUCAGCUUUGGUUCCGGUUGACUCGGUCAAACUCGGGUCAACAGCGGGUCAACUCAGUGAAACGGGUCAGCCGGUCAACAACAUUAAAUGAUUAUGGUUUGGGUUUGAUUCAGAGGACGUUCAGGUCACGGUUCUGAUUUCGGGUUGGUUUGACUCGGUCAAACCGAGUCAACUCAGUCAACAAGCAGUCGACACACGACCCGGAAUGUCAUAGUUGCACGCUUGCUAAAUACACGUUCUUGGAACGACACUACGGAAUCACGCUAGGCUAGCAUUGCACAUGAAUGUCAAGGUUGCAUUUUCAAAACUAUGGAACGG
Helianthus annuus (common sunflower) is the source of this 672-nucleotide long non-coding RNA. RefSeq lists it as uncharacterized. The transcript has 3 exons. Lineage: Eukaryota; Viridiplantae; Streptophyta; Magnoliopsida; Asterales; Asteraceae. The record is from RefSeq and is a predicted model, not a curated record.